Long non-coding RNA from Pungitius pungitius (ninespine stickleback), 496 nucleotides. RefSeq lists it as uncharacterized. The record is from RefSeq and is a predicted model, not a curated record. NCBI's taxonomy places the organism in Eukaryota, Metazoa, Chordata, Actinopteri, Perciformes, Gasterosteidae. The transcript is spliced from 3 exons.
CCUUCAUCUUCAGCAGUGAAGCCACUGGUUUCUCAAAGACCAUCAGUCCCCACAUGCACUCCAAAAAUACCACGUCAACCAGAUCUUGAGUGGUCAAUUGUUGGAAGGGGCAGGAAGAGGCAACAACCCGGCCAAUUCCAUCUAACAUGCGAUGCCCCCAAAAGAAGGCUGCUUCACCAUCAGGAAGUGCUGAAGGAGUGCUCUGUCCUGCUAAAUCCUCUCAAGUUUAGUAGGGCAAGGUUGGCAGAAAUGAAUAAGAUUUCUCCAUCGCAUCUUCCUAGCCCGAAGAUCUGCACACCAGCUUCUCCACAAAUCAAAAAGGUAUCCAUUCUAAUUGUCUUUGUUGAGAAUCUUAUAUGGUAACUUGUCAUUAAAGAAUGUAAUAGUUUGCACACACGACUUGUUAGCUUGACGUUUUUCACAGCACUGAAGUCACAGUCAAAGACUAUGUGCUUGUAAAAUAAAACUUGUUUCUUAUUACAGAGGAGACCACCCG